GAGUUUGUAUCAUGGCUCAGGAGUGAACGCUAGCUACAGGCUUAACACAUGCAAGUACGAGGGGAACGGACAUCGAAAGGCUUGCUUUUGUAGUGGGCGUCGGACCGGCGGCACGGGUGGAGUAACGGCGUAUCCAACCUGCCCACCACGUUGGGGAGUAACCUUGCGAAGUAAAGCUAACUACCAAUGACGUCUCUAGGAAGACAAUCGUGAAGGAGAAUUAAAGAGUUUAUCGGUAGGAUGGAGUGGGGUAUGCGUUCGUNUAGUUAGUCUUGGUUGGGUACGGGGGUAACCGGGACCAACCGACGGG
This 310-nucleotide ribosomal RNA is filed under the name uncultured bacterium. RNAcentral describes it as "bacterial SSU rRNA". The record is from RNAcentral.